AUUGAACGCUGGCGGCAGGCCUAACACAUGCAAGUCGAGCGGCAGCGGGAAGUAGCUUGCUACUUUGCCGGCGAGCGGCGGACGGGUGAGUAAUGUCUGGGAAACUGCCUGAUGGAGGGGGAUAACUACUGGAAACGGUAGCUAAUACCGCAUGACCUCGAAAGAGCAAAGUGGGGGAUCUUCGGACCUCACGCCAUCGGAUGUGCCCAGAUGGGAUUAGCUAGUAGGUGAGGUAAUGGCUCACCUAGGUGACGAUCCCUAGCUGGUCUGAGAGGAUGACCAGCCACACUGGAACUGAGACACGGUCCAGACUCCUACGGGAGGCAGCAGUGGGGAAUAUUGCACAAUGGGCGCAAGCCUGAUGCAGCCAUGCCGCGUGUGUGAAGAAGGCCUUAGGGUUGUAAAGCACUUUCAGCGAGGAGGAAGGCAUCACACUUAAUACGUGUGGUGAUUGACGUUACUCGCAGAAGAAGCACCGGCUAACUCCGUGCCAGCAGCCGCGGUAAUACGGAGGGUGCAAGCGUUAAUCGGAAUUACUGGGCGUAAAGCGCACGCAGGCGGUUUGUUAAGUCAGAUGUGAAAUCCCCGCGCUUAACGUGGGAACUGCAUUUGAAACUGG
Molecule: ribosomal RNA, 619 nt
Filed under: uncultured bacterium
Lineage: Bacteria
Description: bacterial SSU rRNA
Rfam family: Bacterial small subunit ribosomal RNA
Source: RNAcentral